UCGAGAAUCUUCCGCAAUGGACGAAAGUCUGACGGAGCGACGCCGCGUGAUUGAUGACGCCCUUAGGGGUGUAAAGAUCUUUUAUAUGGGAAGAAGUUUAUUGACGGUACCAUAUGAAUAAGGGGCUCCUAAACUCGUGCCAGCAGGAGCGGUAAUACGAGUGCCCCAAGCGUUACCCGGAUUCACUGGGCGUAAAGGGUGCGUAGGUGGCCUAGUUAGUCGAUUGUUAAAGCACCGGGCUCAACCCGGG
RNAcentral lists this ribosomal RNA (250 nucleotides) under uncultured bacterium. Its description in RNAcentral is "partial 16S ribosomal RNA". It matches the Rfam family "Bacterial small subunit ribosomal RNA", at positions 355 to 618 of the family's 1533-position model. The record is from RNAcentral.